RNAcentral lists this long non-coding RNA (2834 nucleotides) under Zea mays. Its description in RNAcentral is "long non-coding RNA (ZMAY_LNC003296)". The record is from RNAcentral. Lineage: Eukaryota; Viridiplantae; Streptophyta; Magnoliopsida; Poales; Poaceae.
GAAGACUUUACAAAACAUUCUUUUCAUUUCUAAAACUGAAGGUUAUUACAUAGGAAGAGUUACAUUUAUUAUAAGUCCUGAUAUACUCAAAGUGCAUAACCUAUUACAAUAGCAGGAAGGUAGGAACCCUCCAAAGCUUAUACACAAGCCUAACUAAUCCUCCUUCAGAACAGGAAACACCCUCCAGCCACAGGAACACCUAGAGUACUCCUCAUCACCUACAACAACAUGGGUUCGAAAACCCUGAGUACGGAGUGUACUUUCGCAAGUCUUACCCGACUAAGGAAAAAGACUCUCAAGGAUAUGAUGGAUUUAGAAAUCAAGGAGAGGCUUUUAGCAAGAAUCAACUUAGAUACUUUUGCAGAAAAAGCUUACUAAAGUGAGUCCUUACUUUCAAUAUUUUAAUGCCAGAUUAAAUAUUAAUAGACUCUGUUUGCACCUAGUCUAAUUUCACCAUCUCAUCAAUACAACAUCAUUUUUUACUCAUAAUGUUUAUAUCCUGACUUAGGUUGCAGGGCAGCGAUCAAGUCUCCACUCUCCGGGGAUAUAACGGCGAUCCGAAUCGAUUUACUUAGCUGAGGAUCUCUAACCACACGACAUAUGUUUCUCGUAACUCUUGCAUAUGUCUACCAUUCCCACGGAUCCUCCACUGCAUGAACAGGUCCGCGCCACCCGAGAGCACACCACCCCUUUUAGGCGAUCCUUUGCCAGGAGGGUACGUGCCACUCGCGCCAUCUCUCCACUCCCAGUGCGCGAUUGUCUUUUCAUGUAUGGAAUAGCCGGGUUCAAGCUUACCCUGUCCCAUUUCCAGGGCAUGUGGCUAGUUAAGAUAGUCCUUGAUCAACAGGCCUACAUACGCAUCCAAUCCUUAACUAACCUGGGUAGAACAUCACCUGUUCCUAGCCCAAGUCCCGAUUUAAGUACUUCCAUCCUUAGGAAAAGAGCAUUAUAGGGAACUUUGCAGUAAGAUCCCACCAUGCUCCCAAUGAAAAUAUUCUUGCAGGUAGAAGUCAUCCUUCCUCAGGAUAAACCUGAGCUAGGCAUAAGUGCAAAGGACAAACUCUAUCUGCUUAUAAGCAGGGCUAAGCAUUUUUUGUAAAUUAUAUUUUGAUACUUCGCCAGAAGUAUCUAUAAAAGGAAUGGAUUUCAAGGUAGCCAAUGCAUCAAAGGGUUUCCAAGCAACUCCUAUAAACCUAAUGCACAUUCACUAGACUUAAAGUGUGUAAAAAUAAUUUAAAAACACAAGGAAGGGGUUGCAUGCACCGGGGCUUGCCUUUGUUGCAGAGAGGAGGUUCUAGAUCCUUCUACCCAACCUUUAGUUAGAUAGCUCCAUCCACUUGAUGAGCAGGCACUGAAGUAGACUCCUUCAAACACCACUUCUUUUAGGUGUUCUACAAGUCAAUUACAAAUACAUGUAUGCUUAUGUUAUGAUAUGAAAUGCAAACUCUCACAAGGAGAGUUGGGGAACAUAAACACUCCUGAAUAAGCACAUGACAAGUAUACCAUACUUCUACACAACCUAGCACUUGAUGAAAGUGACCAAUUUGAAUUGACUUCGGUAAACCAGGGAACCAAUCCAACUUAUAUCUCAUCCAAAGCUUAAAAUUUCUUAAGCAAGUCCCUCACUUCACUAAAUUACUAGGUGUCCUCAUUUCGUCGGUGAAAUCCUUUUUAGAGCACACUUAAAUUACUUAAAAUUUGUAAACUGCACUAAAGAUCCCAAAAACACAUUUACCAGAGAGCUUACCAAUUUAGACAUCCCAUAAAAUUUGUCCCACGAUUUUACCAUAUUUCUACAAUUUGUGACAUAAUUAACAAGCUCUCAGAAAAAUGAAUAAAGGAAAAUCAUUAAAGCCGGGCUGAAACUGACCCACUCGGCCCAUUUCUAGGCAUAGUCGGCCCACAGACGGGAGCACGUGCCCGCGCGUGUAUUCUUGCACAAGGAACCCCGAUGCGCAAAACAAUUAAGUCGAGGCCCGACCACAGUUUUACUGUCUCUCUGACGUAUGCACAUAGCCCCCCUCUUCUUUGCUUUUGCACAAACUCGGCCACGACACCGCCACGCAAAUCUACGAUGAGCCGGCGCCAAAUCGACCACCGUGAUGUAACUCCGACGACAGCAAGGACACAAACAUAACCCUCAAACUAUGGCGAAUCAGGUAGGUACUUAUUUGUCCCGUGGAGAUCCUAAAACCGAGCUUUCGAUGGCGGUGGCGGCGAGCUCAGCUCGGCAAGACCAAUCCCGCGAACCCGUGCGAUAAAGCUCCGCCUAAGGACUCAGAGGGCUUCAGUGAUCACAUAAACCUACGGUGCGUGCGUGAAUUUGACCGAGAAUGGCACGUGUGAACGGGUCAAUGCGAAGGCUGUCCCCAGCGCCAAUCUGCAGCGGCACAACCUUGUUCUGGCCAGCAAACAAUGGCAACAUUAAAAAGGAGAAUCUAGUGAGCAUCACUGACCUUAUUUGAGCAUGGAACAAAUACCACACGGAAGAAAUCCAUCGAGGAAUCCUAGUCAUAGUGAGGUGGGGUUUUGGUGGACGUGGUCACCAAACAAGGGAGAGCACCAUAGGGCACUGGAGCCGAUCAACUAGGUGGCUGGGGAGGGAACUCAGACUUGCAACACAAACUGCAGAGAUACUAGAGCAACCAGCUAAAACACACAGACAGGGAGAAGAACUUCACUGCAGCCUUUCUUUCAAGCAGGCAGAUAAAAGGGCAGGGGGCAGGGAUCUUGGAGCUUAGCCAAGACUUGGAGAUUAAGGAUUCUCAGGGCGCCAGCACAACUUAGGCUCAUGUAAGUGGCUUGUUGUCACAAGCACCCUGCUGGCUCAGCAC